GGGGAAUUUUCCGCAAUGGGCGAAAGCCUGACGGAGCAAGACCGCGGGGGGGAGGAAGGUUCUUGGAUUGUCAACCCCUUCUCUCAGGGAAGAAGAAAGUGACGGUACCUGAGGAAGAAGCAUCGGCUAACUCCGUGCCAGCAGCCGCGGUAAUACGGGGGAUGCAAGCGUUAUCCGGAAUGAUUGGGCGUAAAGAGUCCGUAGGUGGCUCAUCAAGUCUGCUGUUAAAGAGCGAGGCUUAACUUCGUAAAGCAGUGGAAACUGAAGAGCUAGAGUAUAGUAGGGGCAGAGGGAAUUCCUGGUGUAGCGGUGAAAUGCGUAGAGAUCAGGAAGAACACCGGUGGCGAAAGCGCUCUGCUGGGCUAAAACUGACACUGAGGGACGAAAGCUAGGGGAGCGAAUGGGAUUAGAUACCCCAGUUAGUC
Molecule: ribosomal RNA, 425 nt
Filed under: uncultured cyanobacterium
Lineage: Bacteria; Bacillati; Cyanobacteriota
Description: bacterial SSU rRNA
Rfam family: Bacterial small subunit ribosomal RNA
Source: RNAcentral